This 834-nucleotide long non-coding RNA is filed under the name Ananas comosus (pineapple). RNAcentral's name for it is "long non-coding RNA (ACOM_LNC022441)". The record is from RNAcentral. Lineage: Eukaryota; Viridiplantae; Streptophyta; Magnoliopsida; Poales; Bromeliaceae.
UUUAGAAGAGAGUAUUUGGUUCGCUUCUUUUUUACCAUGGAAUCGGAAUGGAAAUAAGUGAAUCCGUUUGUGGGUGUUUGGUACGUGGGAGUCCUAUUCCGAUUCUGAUUCCCGAGUUGAAUGAGAAUUGAUCGCUCAAUCACCCCUUUUUUCAAUCCGCCCUAGAAGGUCGGAUUGGAAGUUGAAUCCGGAUGGAAUGGAUAUUUAUUCAGAUUAAAUUUAUUUUUUCUACUUUUUUAAUUAAAAUAUGAGUUAAAAUUUAAAAAUUAAAUAUAUAAAUUUAAAUUUUAAUUUGAACUUAAAUAAAAAAUUAAAAUUUAAUCAAGUAUUUCGAAUCUAACUUAUGAAUUUGAAUUUAAGUUAAAUUUUAAUUUAUAUAAAGUUUAUUUAAAUUUUAUUUCAAACUUAAAUUAAAUUUAUGAAUUCAAAUUAAAAUUAAAAUUAAAAUUUUAAGUUUGAAUUUGAAUAAAUCAAAAUUUAGUUUCAUAUUUUGAAUUAUCCACUCAACUUCAAAGUUUAAUUUUUUAAAAAAAAUAGAUUUAAAAUUUUAACAUUAUUUCAAAAUUUUGAUAUAAAUUUUUAAUAUUUAAUAUUUAAUUUGAAUUUAAAUUAAUAUAUUAUAAAGGUAAUGUUAGUAUAUUAAUUUAAUUACGUUUUUAUAUCCAUCUAAACCAAACACCGACAAUGGGAAUGAUUUAUUCCGAUUUUGAUUAAGUGAUGAACCAAACAGAAUUAGAUAAUGAGUCAUUCUGAUUCCGAUUUCAGCUUAUUUUGAUUCUGAUUCAAAUUCCGACUCCGACUUCGAACCAAACACGCCCUAAGCGUCUAUGGAGG